CCUUUCAUCUGCUCUCCCUCAUAACCACUUUAACAGGAGUAAGGGGAGGUGCUGAUCUGCAAACAACAUUAUACGUAUCACAUUUGGUAGCAUUCACGGAUCAUGCAUGUGAACUUUACAAUACACACCCAACACUACAGAUUUUCAGAUUUCAUAAAAAUCAAUAAAGAUGGCAGCAUCACAAGUUCAGUGACUCACAUCAACCCACCUGUGGUUGUGAGGAGUUCCUAAGAAACCUGCAAUGUUAGGUGUACUUUAAGCACAUGACAAUGUCACGUUGUAUGAGACAAUUGUUUAAUCCCGUGAAGGUGAAUCACAUCAGUAAAUAUAGUUAGAAAGUGAGUGUGUGUUGAAGUAGAGACCUCUCCUUACAAUGUUUAGUUGUAGAAGGGAAAUAACCCAAGCCUGAAACUAUGACUCGGAAUGAAUGCAGGUACUAGCCAGAGUAUAGGGGCUUAAGGAACCCAGUAGUACAG
This is a non-coding RNA of Pelobates cultripes (western spadefoot toad), 476 nucleotides long. Lineage: Eukaryota; Metazoa; Chordata; Amphibia; Anura; Pelobatidae. The record is from the annotation of a GenBank genome assembly.